This 475-nucleotide ribosomal RNA is filed under the name Echoma anaglyptoides. RNAcentral describes it as "partial large subunit ribosomal RNA". Lineage: Eukaryota; Metazoa; Arthropoda; Insecta; Coleoptera; Chrysomelidae. The record is from RNAcentral.
GUUCAAGAGUACGUGAAACCGUUCAGGGGUAAACCUGAGAAACCCGAAAGGUCGAAUGGGGAAAUUCAUUCGCGUUUCGAUUGUCGGCGUUGAGCGGUUGUGUGACUGACGGGGUACGCUUCGUUAGCACCUUCAGUUCUUCGAACCGACUUCGAACGCGUGCACUUUUCCCCUAGUAGGACGUCGCGAUCCGUUGGGUGUCGGUCUAAGGCCUGCGGUGGAGCUCGCGUGGACUCGGCGUUCCGCACGAACCCGCAGUGUCCCGAUCGACUCGCUCGACGGUAUAAAGAUGGCGCGGGGCCGCUACACAGUUAGCGUUCGGCCUACGGCAAGCACGUACGGUGUUUGAUGGCGAUCAGACCUAGUCGGAUCCCGUCCCCGGACGACUGUUGGCACGUAGUGUUCUCGAACAGACCUCGUUGAAACGCCGAUCUGCGACGCUAUUGCUUUGGGUACUUUCAGGCCCCUUGAAACA